RNAcentral lists this ribosomal RNA (253 nucleotides) under uncultured bacterium. Its description in RNAcentral is "partial 16S ribosomal RNA". It matches the Rfam family "Bacterial small subunit ribosomal RNA", at positions 524 to 776 of the family's 1533-position model. The record is from RNAcentral.
UACGGGGGGGGCAAGCGUUGUUCGGAAUUACUGGGCGUAAAGGGCUCGUAGGUGGCCAACUAAGUCAGACGUGAAAUCCCCAGGCUCAACUUGGGAACUGCGUCUGAUACUGGAUGGCUUGAAUUCGGGAGAGGGAUGCAGAAUUCCAGGUGUAGCGGUGAAAUGCGUAGAUAUCUGGAGGAAUACCGGUGGCGAAGGCGGCGACCUGGGUCGAGACUGACGCUGAGGCGCGAAAGCGUGGGGAGCAAACAGG